Dromaius novaehollandiae (emu) is the source of this 1486-nucleotide long non-coding RNA. RefSeq lists it as uncharacterized. The transcript is spliced from 4 exons. NCBI's taxonomy places the organism in Eukaryota, Metazoa, Chordata, Aves, Casuariiformes, Dromaiidae. The record is from RefSeq and is a predicted model, not a curated record.
UUCUCAGAAUUAUUUCUCUGAAAUUCAUUAACAGGAUUUCUACUGCUGUUUUCUUUCUGGAAUGCUUCUUGAUGUUCUUGUGUCAGCCAGAGCUUUCUCCUCUGUUGCAGAUAAGAGCAAUGGCCAGAACAUGGAACUAUUCCUGUGAGUCAAGACUUCAGCAAUACCUUGAUAUUUGUGAAUUAUGCAGAAUUUGCUUAUAAUACACAGACUUAUCCAGCUCUAUUGCCUAGAGAAAAACACAUUUUAUCAUCACUAUUCAUGCCUUCCAUUCUUGACACCUCUUUGAAAGUACAAGAAGUGCUGCCUUGUGUAACACUGUGGUCAUCCGCUCUAGGGAGAGAUUCCUGCUACAUUAUGAGUUGGUGGUAAGCCUUACUUUCUGGCAUAAUAAAAAUAGAUGGUCUGUCAAAAGAUGAUGUUCUCAAUGCUUUGUUUUGUAGUUCUAUCCUGCCAUCUUCUCUGAAUUAGCAAAUGUGAAAUGCAGCAUAUGGAUUUAUGAAAAGAAAAGUGCAAGAUGUGAAAUAUCCUGAGUAUCUGGAUCUUCGAACAUACGCAUCUCAAUCCGUUGGAGAACCACUCCUCUAUGCCUUAUAUGCAGUCCUGGUAUAUAGAGGUGUCAGUAGUCAUGCAGGACGUUAUUUCUGCUACACAAAGAAAGUGUGCAGUUCCUCUGAAGACAUGGCUGCUUUUAUUUGCAGGCUGCUGGUAGACUUUGAUCUGAGAUGAAUGAUGCCUCUGUAGUCUUUUGUGAAAUCAAAAUGGUUCUCAGUCAGCAAGCUUAUUUACUUUUUAAUAUCAGAAAUCAAGUCAUUUAAAUGGAAAUGAACCCCUAAAAGAAGAUCCAAAUACCAUUGCUGUUACCCUAGAAAGGCCUUCUUCGGCUCCACCAACAGCUUGUGUUCAAAACUAGGCAAUUACCAGGCCUUUAUUUGCUGAUCCCUCAGAAAAACAAAAGAUCACUUCAUAACAAACUGCCUGCACAUCAAACUGUCUCAGCCUGACUGUUUUAGCAGUGCUGUGGUGGAUGAGGAUCUAAACAAGCCUGUUCCUUCAUCCACAGUGUGGCGGACAGAUGAGUGAAUUUUUGCCUUAAACGUUUCUUGGUACAUAAGGUGAAAGCCUUCCUGCGCACAUUGCAGAUUUUGCAGGAAACCAUAACCCCGAACAAGCCAUCUGUUCCCUGUGGAAACAGGACGGAGCUGCUGCAACCCCGAAAUGGUCUCCCUGCGACCACUCAGGACACACCGAGCCUGCGAAAAACCAGACCACGAUCAGGCAGAGACUUUUGGACCUGGAGUGUAAAUUAUUGCUGCUUAGCACAACUUCCAUAAAACUUGCUUAGCAUGAGCAGCUAAAUUUGCUGAAGCCUUAGGCCGCACUCCUAGUUCAGUCAGAAAGGGCCCCAGAGCUGGUGCAGGCUGGAAAGAUAAGGGAGUUACAAGCAGUCCGCAUUCCUGUGCCCCACACUCCGGGAGGGAGGAGG